ACUCUUCAACCCUCCAUUUCCUUGUUGAAAUGUGCAGGUGUUUGGAUUUUGAGUGUCUGCAAGUUUUACUAUUUGCUCACUCGUAAUGCAUUAGCAACUCAAUUUCGAACUUCGGAUUGACUCGGCGUAAUAGACUAUUCGCUGAGGACACUUUUUACUAAGUGGCCGAAAAGUAGACAACAGUAGAAGCUACAAACCAUCUCUAGUCAAAUCUUAGA
This 218-nucleotide unclassified non-coding RNA is filed under the name uncultured fungus. Its description in RNAcentral is "sequence contains ITS2". The record is from RNAcentral. Lineage: Eukaryota; Fungi.